Long non-coding RNA from Uloborus diversus, 538 nucleotides. RefSeq lists it as uncharacterized. Lineage: Eukaryota; Metazoa; Arthropoda; Arachnida; Araneae; Uloboridae. The transcript is spliced from 2 exons. The record is from RefSeq and is a predicted model, not a curated record.
GCCCAGCAAAAUGUACCAGACUGGUUAUCUGAAGAAGCUAAUCAAGCUGGUGGCGCACCAGUGUAUGGUGGUAGAGGAAACUUUGGCGCUAGAGAUGUUCGCAGUCAAGGGCGUGGCAGAAAGAUAGAUUCCAAUGAUGCUUUUGAUAAUGUUAGUGAACCGGUAUCCAGUUCAUUCCAAGACCCUGUAGCUGAUGAUGAAGAAUGGGGUUAAAAGAUAACAGCUGUGAUUUGUCGUUGAUGUUUAAAAAGUACAAUGUGUAAAUGUACAUUAAUGUUACUGUGUUCAAAGAAUUUUACUGUUCGAAGAAUUUAUGAACAAUUGUCUUGAAUGUAAAAUAUGUAUAGAAAAAUAUAUUUUCAAGUUUUUGGAAUUUAGGUUGGAAGUUAUUUGAACUGUUUAUAUAUGUGCAUUAUCAGAAACUAAAGAUCAUAUUUAUGAUAAUCCUGAUGCUGAAAACGGUUUUUAUUUUUAAUUUGACAACUUUCGGCCGCAAGUGUAUGUGUAUCUUGUGCCUUAUAAAAUCUUUUUAUUGAAA